Molecule: transfer RNA, 67 nt
Filed under: Nephila pilipes (giant wood spider)
Lineage: Eukaryota; Metazoa; Arthropoda; Arachnida; Araneae; Nephilidae
Rfam family: tRNA
About the family: Transfer RNA (tRNA) molecules are approximately 80 nucleotides in length. Their secondary structure includes four short double-helical elements and three loops (D, anti-codon, and T loops).
Source: Rfam by way of RNAcentral
GGGCCAGUGGCGGAUAACGCGCCUGACUACGGAUCAGGAGAUUCCAGGUUCGAAUCUGGCUGGCUCG